RNAcentral lists this ribosomal RNA (499 nucleotides) under uncultured bacterium. Its description in RNAcentral is "partial 16S ribosomal RNA". It matches the Rfam family "Bacterial small subunit ribosomal RNA", at positions 28 to 507 of the family's 1533-position model. The record is from RNAcentral.
GACGAACGCUGGCGGCGUGCCUAAUACAUGCAAGUCGAGCGAAGUUUUUCUGGUGCUUGCACCGGAAAAACUUAGCGGCGAACGGGUGAGUAACACGUAAAGAACCUGCCUCAUAGACUGGGACAACCAUUGGAAACGAUAGCUAAUACCGGAUAACAGCAUUAACUGCAUGGUUGAUGUUUAAAAGUUGGUUUUGCUAACACUAUGAGAUGGCUUUGCGGUGCAUUAGCUAGUUGGUGGGGUAAAGGCCUACCAAGGCGACGAUGCAUAGCCGACCUGAGAGGGUGAUCGGCCACACUGGGACUGAGACACGGCCCAGACUCCUGCGGGAGGCAGCAGUAGGGAAUCUUCCGCAAUGGGCGAAAGCCUGACGGAGCAACGCCGCGUGAGUGAAGAAGGAUUUCGGUUCGUAAAGCUCUGUUGUUAGGGAAGAAUGAUUGUGUAGUAACUAUACACAGUAGAGACGGUACCUAACCAGAAAGCCACGGCUAACUACGUG